AGUGAACGCUGGCGGUAGGCCUAACACAUGCAAGUCGAACGGCAGCACAGUAAGAGGUUGCUCUUACGGGUGGGGAGUGGCGGAUGGGUGAGGAAUACAUCCGAAUCUACUUUUUCGUGGGGGAAAACGGAGGGAAACUUACGCUAAUACCGCAUACGACCUACGGGUGAAAGCAGGGGAUCUUCGGACCUUGCGCGAAUGAAUGAGCCGAUGUCGGAUUAGCUAGUUGGCGGGGUAAAGGCCCACCAAGGCGACGAUCCGUAGCUGGUCUGAGAGGAUGAUCAGCCACACUGGAACUGAGACACGGUCCAGACUCCUACGGGAGGCAGCAGUGGGGAAUAUUGGACAAUGGGCGCAAGCCUGAUCCAGCAAUACCGCGUGAGUGAAGAAGGCCUUCGGGUUGUAAAGCCCUUUUGUUGGGAAAGAAAAGCAGCAGGUUAAUACCCCGCUGUUCUGACGGUACCCAAAGAAUAAGCACCGGCUAACUUCGUG
This 492-nucleotide ribosomal RNA is filed under the name uncultured bacterium. RNAcentral describes it as "partial 16S ribosomal RNA". It matches the Rfam family "Bacterial small subunit ribosomal RNA", at positions 29 to 507 of the family's 1533-position model. The record is from RNAcentral.